GAUGAACGCUGGCGGCGUGCCUAAUACAUGCAAGUCGAGCGAACGGACGAGAAGCUUGCUUUUCUGAUGUUAGCGGCGGACGGGUGAGUAACACGUGGAUAGCCUACCUAUAAGACUGGGAUAACUUCGGGAAACCGGAGCUAAUACCGGAUAAUAUUUUGAACCGCAUGGUUCAAAAGUGAAAGACGGUCUUGCUGUCACUUAUAGAUGGAUCCGCGCUGCAUUAGCUAGUUGGUAAGGUAACGGCUUACCAAGGCAACGAUGCAUAGCCGACCGGAGAGGGUGAUCGGCCACACUGGAACUGAGACACGGUCCAGACUCCUACGGGAGGCAGCAGUAGGGAAUCUUCCGCAAUGGGCGAAAGCCUGACGGAGCAACGCCGCGUGAGUGAUGAAGGUCUUCGGAUCGUAAAACUCUGUUAUUAGGGAAGAACAUAUGUGUAAGUAACUGUGCACAUCUUGACGGUACCUAAUCAGAAAGCCACGGCUAACUACGUG
This 497-nucleotide ribosomal RNA is filed under the name uncultured bacterium. Its description in RNAcentral is "partial 16S ribosomal RNA". It matches the Rfam family "Bacterial small subunit ribosomal RNA", at positions 28 to 507 of the family's 1533-position model. The record is from RNAcentral.